This 732-nucleotide ribosomal RNA is filed under the name uncultured bacterium. RNAcentral's name for it is "partial 16S ribosomal RNA". The record is from RNAcentral.
UUCGCCACCGGUGUUCCUCCAGAUAUCUACGCAUUUCACCGCUACACCUGGAAUUCCGCAUCCCUCUCCCAAACUCAAGCCAUCCAGUAUCAGACGCAGUUCCCCGGUUAAGCCGAGGGAUUUCACGUCUGACUUAGUUGGCCGCCUACGAGCCCUUUACGCCCAAUAAUUCCGAACAACGCUUGCACCCUCCGUAUUACCGCGGCUGCUGGCACGGAGUUAGCCGGUGCUUCCUCCAAAGGUACUGUCAAGCCAUGCAAUUAUUCACUGCAUGACCUUCGCCCCUUUCGACAGAAGUUUACAACCCGAAGGCCUUCUUCCUUCACGCGGCGUCGCUGGAUCAGGGUUUCCCCCAUUGUCCAAUAUUCCCCACUGCUGCCUCCCGUAGGAGUCUGGGCCGUGUUUCAGUCCCAGUGUGGCUGAUCGUCCUCUCAGACCAGCUACCCGUCAAAGCCUUGGUAGGCCGUUACCCUACCAACUAGCUGAUGGGCCGCAAACUCACCUUAUAGCGCGACCAUAGAUCAGAGGGCCGCUUUCCUGAAAAAUCUUUAUGACUCUUCAGCGUAUGGUGGAUUAGCCAAUCGUUCGACUGGUUGUUCACCUCUAUAAGCUAGAUUAUUUACGUGUUAUGCACCCGUGCGCCACUUUACAAUCGUAUUGCUACGACUUCUCGUGCGACUUGCAUGUGUUAAGCACGCCGCCAGCGUUCGUUCUGAGCCAGGAUCAAACUCU